Molecule: ribosomal RNA, 459 nt
Filed under: uncultured bacterium
Lineage: Bacteria
Description: partial 16S ribosomal RNA
Rfam family: Bacterial small subunit ribosomal RNA
Source: RNAcentral
CCUACGGGUGGCAGCAGUGAGGAAUAUUGGUCAAUGGACGAGCGUCUGAACCAGCCAAGUAGCGUGAAGGAUGACUGCCCUAUGGGUUGUAAACUUCUAUUAUAUGGGAAUAAAAUGUUCCACGUGUGGGAUUUUGUAUGUACCCUAUGACUAAGGAUCGGCUAACUCCGUGCCAGAACCCGCGGUAAUACGGGGGAUCCGAGCGUUAUCCGGUUUUAUUGGGUUUAAAGGGAGCGUAGGUGGAUUGUUAAGUCAGUGGUGAAAGUUUGCGGCCCAACCGGAAAAUUGCAGUUGCAACUGACAGUCGUGAGUACAGUAGAGGUGGGCGGAAUUCGUGGUGUAGCGGUGAAAUGCUUAGAUAUCACGAAGAACUCCGAUUGCGAAGGCAGCUCACUGACUGCAACUGACACUGAGGCUCGAAAGUGUGGGUAUCAAACAGGAUUAGAUACCCCAGUAGUC